This 366-nucleotide ribosomal RNA is filed under the name uncultured bacterium. RNAcentral's name for it is "partial 16S ribosomal RNA". It matches the Rfam family "Bacterial small subunit ribosomal RNA", at positions 338 to 696 of the family's 1533-position model. The record is from RNAcentral.
CCUACGGGUGGCAGCAGUAGGGAAUCUUCCACAAUGGGCGAAAGCCUGAUGGAGCAACGCCGCGUGGGUGAAGAAGGUCUUCGGAUCGUAAAACCCUGUUGUUAGAGAAGAAAGUGCGUGAGAGUAACUGUUCACGUUUCGACGGUAUCUAACCAGAAAGCCACGGCUAACUACGUGCCAGCAGCCGCGGUAAUGCGUAGGUGGCAAGCGUUAUCCGGAUUGAUUGGGCGUAAAUGGAACGCAGGCGGUAUUUUAAGUCUGAUGUGAAAGCCUUGGGCUUAACCGGAGUAGUGCAUUGGAAACUGGGAGACUUGAGUGCAGAAGAGGAGAGUGGAACGCGAUGUGUAGCGGUGAAAUGCGUAGAUA